AUGGCCGUCGUGGUCGUCACGGUCGUCAUCGCGGCGACGCGUGCGGAAGUCCCGACAGCCAUCGCCGCUGCCGCGCGCACGGGGUGCGCCACCCGUCGUAGUGCCGCGGGAGUCGAACUCCCCCGGGAUAAGGACGCCGUUAGUGGAGACCGGGGCGUGGCCGCCGAUGGUGCCGCGGUGGCACGGUGGGAAGACCGAUGUCGGCGGGGAGUAGGGCACGGGCCUGCCGUCCUCCGUCUCCCAAUCGAAAGGGGCCGAGGUGUAGUCCUCGACGUGCUCCAGGUGCACCAGAACCCGAAAAGUGGCGCCGCGGAGACAGCGCGCUGGCUGCCUCGGAGUGACACGCACGCCGUCCGGCGCGCGCGACGUAAACGUCAGCCAGACCACCUUCGAAAUCCAACUCGGGUUGCUCGUCCAUGCCCACAGACCGAUCUCGCGCGUGUCCGUCAUGGAGAUGGAGCGCUCGUCCAUGACGUCGAGGGUGCAGGUGCGCCCGAUGACCCGCUCAACGAUGGAGUGCGUCCAGACAUAGGUCGGCACCCCAUCCAGAAGCAGCCUCGCGCGGAAAGGCAUGGCCGCGCCCAGCGCAUGAGCCAGCGGCCGCCACGGCCUGACGAAGACUUGCGUGUCGUCAUUCAUCUUCAGCCGGCCCUUGUCCAGUGCGACAGUGCACAUCUCCUUGCUCUCGAACUUGAGGAGGAAUUCCUCCGGGUAGUGGCUGCUGACGACCACGUCGCCCCCACGCAGGCGGAGAUGGUCCCAAAGGAGGCGCUCCACAGCAGCAGGAGCGAGCCGGCGCGACGCAUCCGCGGCCCAGGCGAUGGCCGCCGUCUGCUCCCAGGUGCGCCUGUCGCGGUCGAGCUCGAACGUGGCGGCGAUGAUGCAAGUGUCCUCCUCGGGCCUGGACUCCGGCGCGCCAAGGCCGUGCUGCGCCAUGGCAACAGAGGCCAGCUCGGGGAGACGUCAGGGAGGGGGAGGGCAGCCGUGGCGUGGGGAAGAGACAACGUCCGCCCAGGACCGCCCGUCGCCCGGCCUGCUGGAGGAAGGAGGGCGAGGACGAGGUGGUGGAGGAGGCGGCGGCACGUCACGCACCGGGCAGAGGCGAGCGCGGUGACCAAGCCCGUCGUAGUCCAGGCAGCGCAGCGGCUCACGGCAGGAACGAGCGCGGUGGUACUUGCUGAGGCAGCGAAAGCACCGCCCGCGCGUCCUCCUUAA
This 1215-nucleotide ribosomal RNA is filed under the name Triticum aestivum (bread wheat). Its description in RNAcentral is "partial small subunit ribosomal RNA". Lineage: Eukaryota; Viridiplantae; Streptophyta; Magnoliopsida; Poales; Poaceae. The record is from RNAcentral.